UACGUAGGGUGCGAGCGUUGUCCGGAAUUAUUGGGCGUAAAGAGCUCGUAGGCGGUGUGUCGCGUCGGCCGUGAAAACCUGGGGCUUAACUCUGGGCGUGCGGUCGAUACGGGCAUCACUAGAGUUCGGCAGGGGAGACUGGAAUUCCUGGUGUAGCGGUGAAAUGCGCAGAUAUCAGGAGGAACACCGGUGGCGAAGGCGGGUCUCUGGGCCGAUACUGACGCUGAGGAGCGAAAGCAUGGGGAGCGAACAGG
This 254-nucleotide ribosomal RNA is filed under the name uncultured bacterium. RNAcentral's name for it is "partial 16S ribosomal RNA". It matches the Rfam family "Bacterial small subunit ribosomal RNA", at positions 524 to 776 of the family's 1533-position model. The record is from RNAcentral.